UGCAAGUCGAACGAGUUCUGAUUAUUGAAAGGUGCUUGCAUCUUGAUUUAAUUUUGAACGAGUGGCGGACGGGUGAGUAACACGUGGGUAACCUGCCCUUAAGUGGGGGAUAACAUUUGGAAACAGAUGCUAAUACCGCAUAAAUCCAAGAACCGCAUGGUUCUUGGCUGAAAGAUGGCGUAAGCUAUCGCUUUUGGAUGGACCCGCGGCGUAUUAGCUAGUUGGUGAGGUAACGGCUCACCAAGGCAAUGAUACGUAGCCGAACUGAGAGGUUGAUCGGCCACAUUGGGACUGAGACACGGCCCAAACUCCUACGGGAGGCAGCAGUAGGGAAUCUUCCACAAUGGACGCAAGUCUGAUGGAGCAACGCCGCGUGAGUGAAGAAGGCUUUCGGGUCGUAAAACUCUGUUGUUGGAGAAGAAUGGUCGGCAGAGUAACUGUUGUCGGCGUGACGGUAUCCAACCAGAAAGCCACGGCUAACUACGUGCCAGCAGCCGCGGUAAUACGUAGGUGGCAAGCGUUAUCCGGAUUUAUUGGGCGUAAAGCGAGCGCAGGCGGUUUUUUAAGUCUGAUGUGAAAGCCCUCGGCUUAACCGAGGAAGUGCAUCGGAAACUGGGAAACUUGAGUGCAGAAGAGGACAGUGGAACUCCAUGUGUAGCGGUGAAAUGCGUAGAUAUAUGGAAGAACACCAGUGGCGAAGGCGGCUGUCUGGUCUGUAACUGACGCUGAGGCUCGAAAGCAUGGGUAGCGAACAGGAUUAGAUACCCUGGUAGUCCAUGCCGUAAACGAUGAAUGCUAGGUGUUGGAGGGUUUCCGCCCUUCAGUGCCGCAGCUAACGCAUUAAGCAUUCCGCCUGGGGAGUACGACCGCAAGGUUGAAACUCAAAGGAAUUGACGGGGGCCCGCACAAGCGGUGGAGCAUGUGGUUUAAUUCGAAGCAACGCGAAGAACCUUACCAGGUCUUGACAUCUUUUGAUCACCUGAGAGAUCAGGUUUCCCCUUCGGGGGCAAAAUGACAGGUGGUGCAUGGUUGUCGUCAGCUCGUGUCGUGAGAUGUUGGGUUAAGUCCCGCAACGAGCGCAACCCUUAUGACUAGUUGCCAGCAUUUAGUUGGGCACUCUAGUAAGACUGCCGGUGACAAACCGGAGGAAGGUGGGGAUGACGUCAAAUCAUCAUGCCCCUUAUGACCUGGGCUACACACGUGCUACAAUGGAUGGUACAACGAGUUGCGAGACCGCGAGGUCAAGCUAAUCUCUUAAAGCCAUUCUCAGUUCGGACUGUAGGCUGCAACUCGCCUACACGAAGUCGGAAUCGCUAGUAAUCGCGGAUCAGCACGCCGCGGUGAAUACGUUCCCGGGCCUUGUACACACCGCCCGUCACACCAUGAGAGUUUGUAACACCCGAAGCCGGUGGCGUAACCCUUUUAGGGAGCGAGCCGUCUA
Molecule: ribosomal RNA, 1441 nt
Filed under: Lacticaseibacillus rhamnosus
Lineage: Bacteria; Bacillati; Bacillota; Bacilli; Lactobacillales; Lactobacillaceae
Description: bacterial SSU rRNA
Rfam family: Bacterial small subunit ribosomal RNA
Source: RNAcentral